RNAcentral lists this long non-coding RNA (206 nucleotides) under Apteryx owenii (little spotted kiwi). RNAcentral describes it as "lncRNA (ENSAOWG00000006914.1)". Lineage: Eukaryota; Metazoa; Chordata; Aves; Apterygiformes; Apterygidae. The record is from RNAcentral.
CCACGGCAGCGAAAGCCAGGGGAACAGCGAGCGCAGUUUCAAAGAGCUGCAGGGACCGGCUAGCACAGAUGGAGUUGAGGAAGCCAUCAGAAAAAUCGUUGCCCUCCUCCAGAGUGCAGGAGAUGAGCUGGAUAAGAAAGUAAAGGAAGAUGCACGACUACGGAUGUUUUUCAAAGAAAUGUCCUACAGCUCCUUCAAGAACUUGG